RNAcentral lists this long non-coding RNA (8348 nucleotides) under Triticum aestivum (bread wheat). RNAcentral's name for it is "long non-coding RNA (TAES_LNC022378)". The record is from RNAcentral. Lineage: Eukaryota; Viridiplantae; Streptophyta; Magnoliopsida; Poales; Poaceae.
UCAUAGGUGGCCUCGUGCCUACCUCGAGACACAACGACCACCGUCGUGGCCCAACACAUAAACGAUCCCACACGGGGAUCCGCCGGCUAUAAUAACUACGGGCACACAAGGUUAUGCUCUGCCUACCUGAUCAGGGUAGCACGCACCCAUAACCUUUCCUCAUUGGAGGUCAGGCGAGAGGCACAACAAUAGAACCAGUUAGGACCGUCCCAUACCGGUAAGCAUGGUUGCACUGGUCAGCAUCGAUUCAGCGGCACCAUGACUCAGCCAACAGAUGUUCAAGUUCAAUUUAAUCCGGUUAACUUGAAUGCAAAUAUGCUGAGCCAUGAUAAAAUAACAUGAUGCCAACCAUAAUACAUGAACAUGAUAUCAACAUCAUCAUGAGGGUAUCACAUAACUAUCCACCAUAUCAACAAUAACUCAUAUCCACUGAGCGUGGCAUACUGACUAGCAUGACCAUCUCCAACAUCAACAUGUACUACUAACAAGCAUAAACAUAUGAAAUAUAAUACUAGCAGGUAGAACAUGAUCACAGAGUAUAAGACAACAUAGCACAAAAGUGAACAUACAAAUCUGAACAUCACCGGAACAACGAUAACCAUCUUUUCAACAAGCAAAUAUUUAAUAAAGAUUCAAGUUGAAAACCAUGGCUACUGCAUUACUAUCAUGCAAGUGGGUAUUGUGGCUUGCCUGGGGGUGAAGAAGGCACCGAGGAGAAGUGCGGUGAAGCCGCGGAAAGAAUCGCCGGAAAACGUUCUCUCUCGGAGGGGGCUGAAUAAGGGCAAGGGCAUAAUGGUCAUUUUCACAGUGUCAAACCAUAGUGAAAACAUGACCAACAGAAAGAUAUUGACGAGAGGAAGAAGUGAGCGUUGGUUUCACUGGAAACAGAGUUACGGUUAAAAAAAUAGGAGGGUUUGAAGUUGAAGGACUUUUCUGCAAAAAUUUCCUCACAAAUAAGUCCCUGAGUGGAUAAGACAGAAGCGCAAAAUAGAAACACACUUUUGGUCAGCGAAAACGUAUUUCGGAGUAUACGUUUCCACUUAUCCACGUCAGCAUGGACUGGUCAACGCGGGGCCGGCGGCUUAGAGGCUUACAGGUGGGGUCCACACGCACGAGAUGGGGCCCGCCUGGCCAGCUGGCCGUGUCAACGCCCCUGUCUUCUUCUUCCUCGCGUUCCUCCCGAUCGGGAAAAGAGGGGAGGGAGCAGGGCGAGGCCGGCGGCGGCCCGGCUGGCUCCGACCACCUUAGGCCGAGCCGAGGCCACCGACGGACGCGGGAGGGCUCGCCGCAUCCAUCUAGAGGGCUAGAGGGCGUCGGGGAGAAGCGGGAUGGCGGCGAAGGGCGGCGCCAUGGGAGGGCAGAAGGUGGGUGCCGGUGGUGGCUUUUGGUGGCGUGGCCGGCUCCGGAUAGGCCGAGGGGGUGGGGCGGUUCUACGGGACGAGGGGAAGACGAUGGGGGAGUCGGGGAAGCACGAGGAGGCUCGCUUCGACCGAAUUUUGAGCGGAGCACCAGGCGAGGCUUCAGCCAUGGGAGGGCAACGGGAGCUCCUCGAGCUCGGGGAAGUGGCUAGGCAGGGCUAUAGGAGAGCGGGGAGGCUAGUGGUGAGGUCGAGAGGCUCGGGGGAGCGCUUAUAUAGCCGCGGGGAGGAGCUGCCGCGCUAGCGUCGCCGUGGACGUGUGGCCGACGCCACGGACGCGUGCCCACGUGCAUGAGCUCGGGGAAGACGACGGCGAGGCACAGGGCAGAGCUUCACGGGGAAGAGACGUCUAAGAGAGGGGCAGAGGAAGAGGCCGAGCGCCAUAAAAGCUCGGUCGGCCACAAAUCUCUCGUGGGCGUUCCUCGGCGAGCGUCGGCGAGGAAGCUGCUGGAGGGGGAGAGGGGUCCAUCGGAGCGGCGACAAUGAGAGCUAUCUACUGGACAUCAUCACAGGCACGAAACCGACGAGAGGGAGCGAUGCCAAAGCACAAACAAUACACCACAGCGCAUAGAGCGCGCCAACACACAUGCCAGCUAUGUGGUCACCACGAAACAUGGGGCAUUAAAUGCUCUACGGCACCCAAAAUGGUGUCUAGUGGUAAGUCCUUCGAAGAUGGGUUCGCACUGAGGUGGUAACUAGGUGAAAGAGGCUUUGGUCAAAUAGAAACAAUCCUCUGAAGUUUACUACAGUAAACUUCACCAGCUCAUUGUGGUCAACAGGGUGAAGCUAGGGACCAAACAAGAUGUCUGGGAUGUUUAGGAUAGGAAGGACUACAGCCCUGGGGAAUUUGAGGGUAAAAUGAUCAAGAUUUACUGCAGUUGCUUCAGAACUGCAUACUUGGUCCAUAAAUGAAGAUCAGAAAGAUGCUCUCACCUGAAGUGUCAACUUGAGCUACAAUUGGGCAAGGCUUAGUCAUUUGGACAUAUGAACAUGAUGUAAAAAGCUCAUGCCAAAUGGACGAACCAAAAUAGCACUUGCUUCACAAACAUCUCUGCUGACCAGAAACUUGGAAUAAUUAUGGUGAUCAAAUGGCUCAUUGAAAUGAUGCCAAAAUGGGUGGAGAGAUGUUCUAUGGGAAACAAAAUGAUCUGGUAAUUUCUCAGGAUUUGUGAAGCAAUAUAAAAUAUACUUGCUUCACAACCUGGAAAUAUUGCCAGAAACAAAGAUUUGCUCCUGUGCUCACAUAGAUGAUUGGAUGGGGCUGCAAAUGGGUGUAAGGGGUUAAUAUGAGCACAUUAAGAAGUGUGAAAAAGUUCAUCUCAUUUGGAUACUCCUAGCUAGUACUUCCUUCACAAAGCAUUAUGUCUGACAGAAACUUUGAAACUUCACUGAGGAAGAUUGGCUACGCAUAUAAAUUUGAACUUGUGCAUGGGGCAAUUAUUUGGACAUAUAAACAUGCCCAAGAAGGUUGGGAGUCAAUAGGAGAAAUAUAAAUGACACUUCCUUCACAAAGUGCCAUUUAGGGCAGAAUAGGAAAUAAAUUAUUGGAGGAUUAUUUUUGAACAUGGCAAUGAAAAGUUUUGCCAUAAUUGAUUAAGAUAUUACCCAAAAAAUUUAUGAGAAUUAUUUGGGAAUUUUUGGAGUGGAGGAAAUAUAGGUUGCUUCACAACCUAGGGCAAUUGGGGUUAUUCCUUUAAUAGAAAAGGAAUAUUCCCAAUAAAAAGAAUAUUGGGUUUUGGGCUAGGAUGGAAAUGACAGGGUCUAGGGAAAGAUUUGGGUAUGACAAGCCACUCUGGAAGCAAAGAAGAGGUCAUCUUCUUCAGUUUCCAGACCACAAAUCCACGGAAAAAAAGAAAAUUCAGGCAAAAACCUCGGAAAAACAAAAGAAAAAGAAAGGGCCAAAAAUCAGGCUGUGACAAACCUUACCCCCUUAAAGAAAUCUUGUCCUGGAGAUUUGGUUGCUUAGGGAACUAGUAUGAAUAUUCUGACUUAAGGAAACCGUUUCCAACUCGGGUAUCCCUUUUUCCUUUAUUGUUGUUCCCACUAAAUUUUUAUCUGACUGGCCCUGCGGUGGUUUGCUCCACUGUAUCCAUAUUCUAACAGAUCUUACCUUGCUUGUCCAUGCUUAUAUAGGCUCCAAUUUCGUUUUAGAUCUGCUGACUAGCUGAGUGUGAUCACGACUGAAAUAUAUGUCCGUCUUACAAAUCCAAAAGUGAUUUCCGCUGGGUGUGCCACCCGGCACUGACAACCUUUCAUGUAAUGAUGAUCAGAAUUUUCUGAUGAAAACUCAAGCUCUGACGCAUUGCAUUGGAUUUCUCCACUAAAUGCAGUGCCUUUGGGUUCCAAACAGUGAGUUAAAACAUAACUGUUUCCUGACAGAUUCUGACUCAUCACAGAAGUUUCUGAAUCAUCUUAACUGGUUCCACUACCGUGAGUAUCGGAUCCAUACCAAAUAUUUGAUUGUCUCCUGUCGGGGCCAGCAUAAAGGGUUUGGCAUGUAUGAUAAUAUUUGUAGGCUCGACUGACGUAGACUGUCCGAGGGAUCUGCACCAUGGGGGUCGUGCAACAAUUUUCAUAGCUGCAUCACUGGUCUUGCUCCUUCAUUAUUGUUUUCUUGAUCUCAAUCCUUGGCUGAAAGAGCUGGACCAUAUUGUUUCUUUGUAUGACCAUAGGUAUUGUCGGUGCAAUUUUUCGGCAAUUGUAGCUUAUCCUCAUUUUUCUUGACAGAGUAACCUAUUAAAUGACAGGUUCAACACUUCUCAAAUUCCGGUCGUUGGGAAAUGAUCAUCCGAAACCCUUGCAAGAAAUCGGCGAAUAAAUCAGUAGCCACCAGAACGGUCUUUACCACACAGAUCUAGGACGUUACUGAAAUAACUCAACCACGGCUCAAGACGGUCAAAAAGCAACUCAGAGCAUGAGACCGGGUCGAUAAGAAGAAGGUGGCAGCUCCCUAAAAUAGCCAAAAAGCAGCUAUAGGGCUACUGUCACAAAAAGAAACUCAACAACUGUACGAGACGGCCGAAAAGCAGCUCAGACUCAUGACAGUCGUUCAAGAGAGAAACAAAAAUAGGCAUCCACCCCGGAUAGCUAGAAACAUCUCAGAUUACAGGCGUGGUGCCAUCAUUGGAGAAAAAAAAGGGGACAAGGGCUCAUUAGGAUCAUUUUCCAGGUUCAUGGGUGCUUGUAUUGAGCUCAUUAAUGUCGUCAAUCCUCAUACUCCUUUAUCACACUGUGGUGUAUACUGGCUUUCUUCUAUUAACCAUCCUCACGUGGUUGUCAGAUUCACAUACGAGUGACUUGUAAGAUCUUGAUGGUAUGCUCAUUGCAUAUAUAUGAGGACCUGAUUCCGAGACAGACGUGUAUUCUGACUGAUUUCUUAAUUCUUACCAAAAUGUUGCCGAUCUGGUUCUUGGGAUUCACUGCCAUAUGCUGUUAAUUCACAUCGUACUACCUUGUACCAAUGUCUUACUGAGAAAGAUCGGCUGACUUGUGCUCGAAACUUUCAUCGGACAGCUUGCUGAAGAAGACUGAAUAUCAUGCUUCAGAAGCUUAACCCCUUAAAGACUUUCCUGGGGAAAGACUCGGUACCUUAUGCUGGAAGCUUUUGUAGUUGUUUACUGAAGAAGACAGGGUACCUUGGACGGGAAAUCAUCCACGUAUCGUACUGAGGAAGAUAGAUGAAGCUUGCCUUGGAAACUUCUCUGGUAUUUUGCGAGGGAAAAUUGGGUUGCUUCCACCAGAAUCUUCUUAUUGUGAUAUGCGGACCGAUUUCCACAUAUACAUACCAUCUUAAUAUUUCUGUUGUUGAUUUCUUGUAUGAAACAGGGUUUUACUGGACUAUCCUCCUUUCUAAGUACAUGCUAUAUUUUUGCUUGCUUCCAGGUACAUCGAGUUCCAAAAUCAUCCUCAAUGAAAAAUUGAACUUAUAUCUGAGCCAUACCUUUGAUAAUAUUCUGUCAACCUUGCACACAAUUUAUCUUCUUGCUGAUUUAAUCAUUUUGUUGUGAUGAGUGCAUGCUAAUGCAAGCUUGAUACUGACGGUCCAUCCAGGAUUUCUUUUGCAUCCAGAGAAGAUAUUCCCCAUUUCACUGGAGUCAGCUGAUAAUUCCAUUCUGUGUAGCUGAGUUUCCAAAUAUAUGCAUAUCUUGCUAACUCUUCGGGUCCGGUGUCGGCUGACGAGCAACUUUAAUAAGGGAAACAUUUGUAACACCGAAGGCCCAAAGAAAAGAAUAACAGAAACGACUAAAACAAAAGCACACAAGCAUACUACUAAGAUAAUUAAUCAAUCAAUCAUCACAUAUUACUACUAUUCACCCAAUAUGCAUGCCUACUUAAGCACACAAAUUUCAUGAAAUCUCCGGUACUACGAUCUAGCAUGCUGUGAUGAUGUGCAUGAGGACGAAUAAAUGUGUGGAAGAAUUGGUGUAAUCAGCGCUACACCAAGUGCUUGCUUAGCCAGAUAGCAACCUGGACUAGCUCGGAGGCGAGGACGUACUCGGUAAUCAUGUAGUGGGACACGAAGGUCGCAACCAUAUUAUUAUCAAGCGGACGGAAAAAGAUCUGUACUCGUCCCAAAAAUAGGAUAGCGGGGGAAAACUGAGGCUGCUCACAUUGCCCUUUCUUGAUAACUAAGAUCAUUAAGGGUUGCCAACGCGACAAAAUAAAAAGAACGAUCCAGGAUAGAAGCAUGUCUAUCACCGAAAUGAUAGACGGGACUGAAAGAAAGAAAUCGGUGCGAUACCUGAGCACCAUUUUUGCAAACAGUGUCGGGAUCACUUGGCAUUACUCUGCUCGGACAGAAAUGACACCAAACACCGAAAGAAAAAGGAACUGGAGAAAUGCAAAGGUUGAGCUAUAGUGGAUCCGAACCGAUGCCAGCUACACUCACCAGAUAAACCGUUAGUGACAAAUAAUAAUGCUAUAUGCAUGCCAUGCGACAAACAAAUGCAGCAAUCAAGUGCAACAAACCAACUGGUGUCUAUACUACCGCUUUCUAACGUUCGCGCGGUCUAGGGCAUCCUACAGCCAGACCUGCUCUGAUACCAAGCCUGUGGCACCCCGGCUCAGAGAAAACCGGAACGCCCCGUAUUCCAGCCCAGAGAUCGAGAAGAAGUCUUCUGGAAUACGACAUUGCUUAGCAUAGAACAAACCAGCCUUCUAUUAUUACACGAAUAUGAUUACGAGGUCUCCGAUAUUACAAUGAAUAACAUCGGCACGACGACACUACGCCAUCCUCAGUUGCUCUAUGCAAGCAGCAGAACAACUCGAAGCAGUGGAACAACAAAGACGGUGGUGAACUCCACUCCGCAGGGACUCUGGCUGGAACGCUUAUCCUAGCUCGCACGAACGGAAACCACGACAAGCAAGCAAUCAAAUCCGGCAUGACCUGAAACUGGCAUGAAACGCCAGGUCAGUACAUUGAAUUUACUUGCAAGCUCACAAUAAUCCAGAAGCAUUCAGGACAAACAACAACAUGGCAAUUACAGGUUAAACAAUAAUUAUCAUGAGAUCAUUAGAAUAACAUGGCAUGGCCAACAUAAACAUGAUACAACUAUCACAACAUGAACACAUUAAUUCAACAAUACUAGCAUGCAAAAUGAUGACACCAUAUGCACCACUUACUCUGCUCGGUUACCUCGUAGCCAACACAUGCAUCACCUACCAACCUCGGACAUCACACGAUCAUCUCGGGAUCAAAUCAAGCUUGGUAUAAACAAUACCGCAGCGAUCAGUAAAUGAACACAAGGAGCUUGAUCCUUACCCACGACUCUUGUACAACAUCACGAAUAUACAACAACUCGAUAUCCUCGAUACCAUCGUGAUCCUUACGGCGAUCACAACCACGACCAACACUUAGUCUCAAACCGUGAUCCUUACAGCGAUCACAACCCGACCACUAAAUGCCCCGUGGUCCUUACGGCGAUCACAACCCGACCAAUACCUGGCCCAUCUCAUUAUUAUUAAGCACAUUAUUCUUAUUACUGUGGACUCAUGGUGUGACCUUCUCUCGACCUGGGCCCUUAUCCGUGGGCGCGGCUAUCGAUAGAUUUAAUAUACACUCUGCAGAGGUUAGUACACUGUACCCACACUACGGAACCCAUGGCCUCGCACUCCCAUUCGGGUGGACCAACAGCGUUCCGACAAAACUGAUCUACUGCCAUGACACUCUCCCGGCCACUCCAACUCACUCCUCACUGAGCUAAGUCAUGGGUGGCCCCGUGCCUACCUCCAGACACAACGACCACCGUCAUGGCCCAAUACAUAAACGAUCCCACACGGGGCUCCGCCGGCUAUAAUAACUACGGGCACACAAGGUUAUGCUCCGCCUACCUGAUCAGGGUAGCACGCGCCCAUAACCUUCCCUCGUUGGAGGCACCGGCGAGAGGCAUAACAAUAGACCCAGUUAGGACCGUCCCAUACCGGUAAGCGUGGUUGCACUGGUCAACAUCGAUUCAGCGGCACCAUGACUCAGCCAACAGAUGUUCAAGUUCAAUUUAAUCCGGUUAACUUGAAUGCAAAUAUGCUGAGCCAUGAUAAAAUAACAUGAUGCCAACCAUAAUACAUGAACAUGAUAUCAACAUCAUCAUAAGGGUAUCACAUAACUAUCCACCAUAUCAACAAUAACUCAUAUCCACUAAGCAUGGCAUACUGACUAGCAUGACCAUCUCCAACAUCAACAUGUACUGCUAACAAGCAUAAACAUAUGAAAGAUAAUACUAGCAGGUAGAACAUGAUCACAAAGUAUAAGACUAAAUAGCACAAAAGUGAACAUCACCGGGACAAUGAUAACCAUCUUUUCAACAAGCAAAUAUUUAAUAAAGAUUCAAGUUGAAAACCAUGGCUACUGCAUGACUAUCAUGCAAGUGGGUAUUGUGGCUUGCCUGGGGAUGAAGAAGGCACCGGGGAGAAGUGCGGUGAAGCCGCGAAAAGA